RNAcentral lists this non-coding RNA (28 nucleotides) under Homo sapiens (human). The record is from RNAcentral. Lineage: Eukaryota; Metazoa; Chordata; Mammalia; Primates; Hominidae.
UUCAGAUGCGUGCAGGGUGAUGUGUGGU